UGUGUACAUUGGGAUAUUCUUCAACUUUUCCCCAGCAUGUGAUAGCAGGUGAAAUGUAUAUCUGCGUGGGAAAGGACAAUUUAUUUCUUUUUUUCUUUUUCAUUUUGAAGUUCUUUACAAAUGUCUUGAAUAGCAGAUGCUCCACAUGGGAACUUUUGUGUUCAGCUCUGGUGAGUAUACAUGUAUUCUGGUCCACUUUUUCUGUGUUUUUCAGAAUGCGUUGGAAAGCAUGAGAUGAGAAAUGGAGCACACACGUAAUGUACAAUGGCAUGCAAUAUAGAAAAGUCCUGUGUGUUUUUUUUUAUUUUUACUUUUCAGAUAGAGGUUUUUCUUGAUGAUUUAGCCAUACUCUUUUAUGUCUGUUCAGUUUGCCCAUAUUGUCUGAAGUGAUGUAAAUCUUAGGAUUGUUUGUGUCUGCCUUUUCUUUUUUUUUUCACUUUAUUUUUCAGACUUAAACAUUCCUGGAGCCCCUUCUGCAUGUCCACAUUAUAAACAUUUUUACAACGUUCUGCUGUGAUGCACCUUUUUAAGUGAUGGCAAAUGAAAGUACUCAUUGGAGGGAAAGUUUGAUGCUUGGAUUUUUUGACAGAUGCCUUUACUAGUAGUCUCACACUAUACGGGAACUGAUUUUUUUUUUUCCAGUUAAAGCGAGUUUUCAGCAAUAUCUGUGAAUGCAGAAUUCUUAUUCGGGAGCAAUGGGAUGGUCGUGUUAUUCUUGGAAAAUCUAUUGCUUGUUGAAUCAACAUACUUAUGGAGAAAAAAAAAAA
Long non-coding RNA from Rana temporaria (common frog), 767 nucleotides. RefSeq lists it as uncharacterized. NCBI's taxonomy places the organism in Eukaryota, Metazoa, Chordata, Amphibia, Anura, Ranidae. The record is from RefSeq and is a predicted model, not a curated record. The transcript has 2 exons.